Molecule: ribosomal RNA, 253 nt
Filed under: uncultured bacterium
Lineage: Bacteria
Description: partial 16S ribosomal RNA
Rfam family: Bacterial small subunit ribosomal RNA
Source: RNAcentral
UACAGAGGGUGCGAGCGUUAAUCGGAAUUACUGGGCGUAAAGCGUGCGUAGACGGUUAUUUAAGUCGGGUGUGAAAGCCCCGGGCUCAACCUGGGAAUUGCAUUCGAGACUGAAUAGCUAGGGUACGGUAGAGGGAAGCGGAAUUUCCGGUGUAGCGGUGAAAUGCGUAGAUAUCGUCUGGAACGCCAAAGGUGAAAACAGACUGCUGGGAGUGUGCUGACGCUGAGACACGAAAGCCAGGGGAGCAAACGGG